Molecule: microRNA, 19 nt
Filed under: Homo sapiens (human)
Lineage: Eukaryota; Metazoa; Chordata; Mammalia; Primates; Hominidae
Description: hsa-miR-3654
Source: miRBase by way of RNAcentral
GACUGGACAAGCUGAGGAA